Molecule: long non-coding RNA, 2176 nt
Filed under: Brassica napus (rape)
Lineage: Eukaryota; Viridiplantae; Streptophyta; Magnoliopsida; Brassicales; Brassicaceae
Description: long non-coding RNA (BNAP_LNC015993)
Source: RNAcentral
UUUUCAUCAAAACUUAUCAUUUCAGACAACCCUCCAAAAGCUUAGUGAAUCUCUGACGAACUCCUUUUGUCUUCUACUCUUUUACGACUUAUCUUGACGUCUCUCUUUCAUCACAUAUGAUGAAACUGAGCUACACAACACAGCUACACCUUCAAGAUAUCACAUUUUAUAUUCUUGUUUCAAUUCCCUUUCUUCCCAAGUCUGAACCGCCAAACUGACAACCCCUUCUUCCGACUUCCCUAACCCUUUAGGAUGACAAAGUUGGCCGCAUAUCGGCUCAAGCUUCGGCUUACACCUCUGGUAAGAGGUAAACGCUUCUUCUUACUUAUUUUUCCAAAUCUGAGGUAGAUCUAAAGAUGCAAACCGAUGAUCUUUAUUUUAUCAGUAGAACUCAACCUUUUACCUUUUAAAAUCGACUUAUACCUUCUUAUUCGCUGCAAUAUGAGAAUCAUCGAGACAUCUCAUCAGCCGCAUGUUGCAUGCAGGGCCGGCUCAUAAACAUUUUAGGCCCCUGGGCAAAAACAAAUUAUAUAGCCUUUUGGCAAUUUUUUUUUGAAAAUCAAGUAAAAACUAAAAUUUAAUGUAAUUAUUUAAGCUAUUAUAUUAUUUUGUAAGGAAAUUUUCAAGAUAAUUUAAUUUUUAAAAUAGAUAUAACUAAAUUUAGUUAAAAAUAUUUAUAUUUACUUUUUUGUUUAUUAAAAAUGCAAACAAAUUGUAAAAAAAAAAUUGGACCCCUGGGCCCCGGGGCGGUCGCACUCCCCGCCCUACCAUCUAAGCAGCCCCUGGUUGCAUGGAACCUGCGAACUUUGACAAACACCAAAUCCUUCUCCAGUGUCUUCCCAAGUACGGUCUUUGUUAGGAUAUCAGCUAGGUUUAGCGUAGUAUGAAUCUUUACCAUUAUCCUGCUUCCAUCGGCAAUUACAUUUCAAAUAAAAUUGAACCUAUGUGUUUAGUUCUUUUGUAAAAGCAUCUAUUCUUUACCAAAAAUAUAGCUGAUUGUGAUUCACAAUUAACUUUAACUGCCCAUGUAUCAUGACUUAGAUCUUCACACAUACCCUUAAUCCAUAAGAACUAGUCUUCGUACUGAGACUAUAACUCUUAAGGAAGAAAAUCGAUUCUAAUGAAAUCAUGGCUGGAAUUGAUAUCUUAUUUAAAUAGAAAGAUUUCAAAUAUCUGGAAUUUAUUUUUAUAUAUUAUAUGGAUGAUCCGAACCGCAAGGAAUACCUAUUUAGUAGCUUCAGUUAAGGUCAUCUACUCUGACUAGCUCUAUAGUAAAGAGAGAAAUUAUUGGUUCGAGCUCCGAUCUCCAGCUAGUAGUAUUACCUCAUACGUGAAAAUAUAGCCAGUAAUUAAUCUCAUUUUGUGGAGAUCAGUUGUAUAAUCUACAUCACAGAAUCCUUCCACCUCAUGACUUUGCUUCUUUCAAACAGUUCAAGGAAAAAUCUUCCUCAAAUGUACAUUAAAAUCCAUUUCACUUUCUCUUAGUGUUCUCUAUCUGAAUUUCCCAUAAACCUGCUCACAAUCACAGAAUCCCUCCAACUGCACAUGCAUACAUAAUUUCUCUCAUUAACUCUGGUUCCUCUUUGCUUCUUCUUAACUCAUACUUUUCAGGUUGAAUUGAUACCCUAAUUGGAGUAGAAAUUGGUUUGCAAUACGCAAUGUUCAAAGUUGAGAGCACAUGUUCUAAUUAUUUUCUUUGAGAAAACUUCAGUGAACCUUCUUCAGAAUUUCUUGUACUAUAUACACACCUAAGAUCCUUGUUGCAGCUCACAAAUAUUUCAUUUCAUACUUGUGAGAAUCAUUUGGCAACCAAUCUCGUCUUGAACCUUUGUUGGUCAACUCAUGAGAUGUCUAGUUUCUUUCUAUAAACCCACUUGCAUCCAAUUACCAUUUUCUUUCUUGUCUCUUCACAAUAUCUCAAGUAGCAUUUCUGUCAAGCGAAUUAAUUUACUCUUUACAGGCUGAACCCUGCCUAUAUAUCUUAAGAGCUUAGACAUGGAUUAAGUUUGAGUUUCGAUAAGUUUACAAAGCGCAAUAUAACAAUAAUUCAGAAUUGGCUAAAGACACUUUGCUCACAAAUAUUAUUUUCAAGCAAUCAAGUCAACUCCUUUGCAUUCAAUUCACCUAAUAUAUCAUGAAGUAGGUGAUCAUUAAGGUUCAAGCAAUAAGAACAAUC